Long non-coding RNA from Mus musculus (house mouse), 978 nucleotides. RefSeq annotates it as predicted gene, 38552. The transcript has 4 exons. The record is from RefSeq and is a predicted model, not a curated record. NCBI's taxonomy places the organism in Eukaryota, Metazoa, Chordata, Mammalia, Rodentia, Muridae.
AGUGUUUUCCUUUAUAAGAGUUGCCUUGGUCAUGGUGUCCCUUCACAGCAAUGAAACCCUAACUGAGACAGGUAGGAAGCAAUUGAGGAAGGCAUCUGAUGUCCAUCUGUGGUCCACCUGUAUGUCUGCACACAUGUGCAAAGACACAUAGUAGUUAUCCAGGUGUGGUGCUGCACACCUGGGAAUCCCAGCACGUGGGAGUUAGGCAAGAGGAUUUGCAGUUCAAGACUACCCCUAGCUGUGUAGAGAGAUCGAGGUUAGCCUGGACUUUUGAGCUUCUGUCUCAAAAAACGAAUGAACAAAUGAACAAACAAACAAAACAAAACAAGAAAACCUCAAAAGCAUCACCAAUCCCACCCCCAAUAACAGAAUGUGCUGACAUCUUUAUUUUAAAUCUUUUGUAGGAGAAGCUCACUUAUGCUUGAUGUAUCUCCAACAGCUUUAAAGUGUUUGCAUCAUGAAAGAACAAGUACACCUAGCUCAGGCUUUCCCACUGGCAGGGAGAAAACAGAAAAGGCAACAUGUUGAAGCUUUCUAGCUGUGUCCUGGAAAUCUUAAAAAGGAAGCCAAUUUCAAAAGGCACAAGAAGGAUUUAUGAUUUCAGGAACGUCUCAUGUGAGAUGGUGCUGUCCACAUUCAGAGCAGAUCUUCUUUAGUCAAUCAUCUGUAGACGAUCCUCAGACAAGCCUAGAAGUGUGUUCUGCAAGGCAUGUCAGCACUCCUCAAUCCAAGUUGGUGACUUUAUGAUACAACCACCUCCCAGGAGAUCCUGUCACUCAAAGUUCCCACCACCUCAGCACUAACUCAUUGGAGAACAAGACUUUUGUCUAGGAAGCCUUGGAGUACAAACGCAUUUUAACCAGAGCCCAGAACAAAUGGACUGAGCAAACGAGCCACCUCUCAAGAUGGAGUUGAAUUAAAUAGAGUAUAACUUACAGGCAAAUGAUAGAGAACGAAAAAUAUUAUCAUUAAGAAAAA